UCUUAGCUUGCUAAGGCCGAUGGCGACCGGCGCACGGGUGAGUAACACGUAUCCAACCUGCCGUCUACUCUUGGACAGCCUUCUGAAAGGAAGAUUAAUACAAGAUGGCAUCAUGAGUCCACAUGUUCACAUGAUUAAAGGUAUUCCGGUAGACGAUGGGGAUGCGUUCCAUUAGAUAGUAGGCGGGGUAACGGCCCACCUAGUCUUCGAUGGAUAGGGGUUCUGAGAGGAAGGUCCCCCACAUUGGAACUGAGACACGGUCCAAACUCCUACGGGAGGCAGCAGUGAGGAAUAUUGGUCAAUGGGCGAGAGCCUGAACCAGCCAAGUAGCGUGAAGGAUGACUGCCCUAUGGGUUGUAAACUUCUUUUAUAAAGGAAUAAAGUCGGGUAUGUAUACCCGUUUGCAUGUACUUUAUGAAUAAGGAUCGGCUAACUCCGUGCCAGCAGCCGCGGUAAUACGGAGGAUCCGAGCGUUAUCCGGAUUUAUUGGGUUUAAAGGGAGCGUAGAUGGAUGUUUAAGUCAGUUGUGAAAGUUUGCGGCUCAACCGUAAAAUUGCAGUUGAUACUGGAUAUCUUGAGUGCAGUUGAGGCAGGCGGAAUUCGUGGUGUAGCGGUGAAAUGCUUAGAUAUCACGAAGAACUCCGAUUGCGAAGGCAGCCUGCUAAGCUGCAACUG
RNAcentral lists this ribosomal RNA (675 nucleotides) under uncultured Bacteroidales bacterium. RNAcentral's name for it is "bacterial SSU rRNA". It matches the Rfam family "Bacterial small subunit ribosomal RNA", at positions 73 to 742 of the family's 1533-position model. The record is from RNAcentral. Lineage: Bacteria; Pseudomonadati; Bacteroidota; Bacteroidia; Bacteroidales.